Molecule: ribosomal RNA, 250 nt
Filed under: uncultured prokaryote
Description: partial 16S ribosomal RNA
Rfam family: Bacterial small subunit ribosomal RNA
Source: RNAcentral
UACGUAGGAGGCAAGCGUUAUCCGGAUUUAUUGGGCGUAAAGCGUCCGCAGCCGGUUUAUUAAGUGUGGAAUCAAAGCCCGGGGCUCAACCCCGGUUCGUUCCGCUAACUGAUAGGCUAGAGUGUGGUAGAGGCAAGUGGAAUUUCUAGUGUAGCGGUAGAAUGCGUAGAUAUUAGAAGGAACACCAGUGGCGAAGGCGACUUGCUGGGCCAUUACUGACGGUCAGGGACGAAAGCGUGGGGAGCGAAUA